GACGAACGCUGGCGGCGUGCCUAAUACAUGCAAGUCGAGCGGACUGAUUAAGAGCUUGCUCUUAUGACGUUAGCGGCGGACGGGUGAGUAACACGUGGGCAACCUGCCCUGUAGAUCGGGAUAACACCGAGAAAUCGGUGCUAAUACCGGGUAAUAUCUGAGAUCACAUGAUCUUAGGUUAAAAGAUGGCUCCGGCUAUCACUACAGGAUGGGCCCGCGGCGCAUUAGCUAGUUGGUAAGGUAAUGGCUUACCAAGGCGACGAUGCGUAGCCGACCUGAGAGGGUGAUCGGCCACACUGGGACUGAGACACGGCCCAGACUCCUACGGGAGGCAGCAGUAGGGAAUCUUCCGCAAUGGACGAAAGUCUGACGGAGCAACGCCGCGUGAGUGAUGAAGGGUUUCGGCUCGUAAAGCUCUGUUGUUGGGGAAGAAACAGUACCGAACGAACUAGGUCGGUACCUUGACGGUACCUAACCAGAAAGCCACGGCUAACUACGUG
RNAcentral lists this ribosomal RNA (500 nucleotides) under uncultured bacterium. Its description in RNAcentral is "partial 16S ribosomal RNA". It matches the Rfam family "Bacterial small subunit ribosomal RNA", at positions 28 to 507 of the family's 1533-position model. The record is from RNAcentral.